GCGGCGUGCCUAAUACAUGCAAGUCGAGCGAAUGAUGAGGAGCUUGCUCCUCUGAUUUAGCGGCGGACGGGUGAGUAACACGUGGGUAAUCUGCCUGUAAGACGGGGAUAACUCCGGGAAACCGGGGCUAAUACCGGAUAAUAAGAGAAGAAGCAUUUCUUCUUUUUGAAAGUCGGUUUCGGCUGACACUUACAGAUGAGCCCGCGGCGCAUUAGCUAGUUGGUGAGGUAACGGCUCACCAAGGCGACGAUGCGUAGCCGACCUGAGAGGGUGAUCGGCCACACUGGGACUGAGACACGGCCCAGACUCCUACGGGAGGCAGCAGUAGGGAAUCUUCGGCAAUGGGCGAAAGCCUGACCGAGCAACGCCGCGUGAGCGAUGAAGGCCUUCGGGUCGUAAAGCUCUGUUGUUAGAGAAGAACAAGUACGAGAGUAACUGCUCGUACCUUGACGGUACCUAACCAGAAAGCCACGGCUAACUACGUGCCAU
Molecule: ribosomal RNA, 489 nt
Filed under: Bacillus sp. NP4(2010)
Lineage: Bacteria; Bacillati; Bacillota; Bacilli; Caryophanales; Bacillaceae
Description: bacterial SSU rRNA
Rfam family: Bacterial small subunit ribosomal RNA
Source: RNAcentral